RNAcentral lists this ribosomal RNA (253 nucleotides) under uncultured bacterium. Its description in RNAcentral is "partial 16S ribosomal RNA". It matches the Rfam family "Bacterial small subunit ribosomal RNA", at positions 524 to 776 of the family's 1533-position model. The record is from RNAcentral.
UACGAAGGGGGCUAGCGUUGUUCGGAAUUACUGGGCGUAAAGCGCGUGUAGGCGGGCUCUUAAGUCAGGGGUGAAAUCCCGGGGCUCAACCUCGGAACUGCCUUUGAUACUGUGAGUCUCGAGACCGGAAGAGGUGAGUGGAAUUCCUAGUGUAGAGGUGAAAUUCGUAGAUAUUAGGAAGAACACCAGUGGCGAAGGCGGCUCACUGGUCCGGUUCUGACGCUGAGGUGCGAAAGCGUGGGGAGCAAACAGG